RNAcentral lists this ribosomal RNA (253 nucleotides) under uncultured bacterium. RNAcentral's name for it is "partial 16S ribosomal RNA". It matches the Rfam family "Bacterial small subunit ribosomal RNA", at positions 524 to 776 of the family's 1533-position model. The record is from RNAcentral.
UACGGAGGGGGCAAGCGUUGUUCGGAAUCAUUGGGCGUAAAGGGCGCGUAGGCGGCCCUGCAAGUCGGACGUGAAAUCCCUCGGCUCAACCGAGGAACCGCGCUCGAUACUGCGAGGCUAGAGUCCGGGAGGGGAUGGUGGAAUUCCCAGUGUAGCGGUGAAAUGCGUAGAUAUUGGGAAGAACACCGGUGGCGAAGGCGGCCAUCUGGACCGGAACUGACGCUGAGGCGCGAAAGCUAGGGGAGCGAAUGGG